RNAcentral lists this ribosomal RNA (253 nucleotides) under uncultured bacterium. RNAcentral's name for it is "partial 16S ribosomal RNA". It matches the Rfam family "Bacterial small subunit ribosomal RNA", at positions 524 to 776 of the family's 1533-position model. The record is from RNAcentral.
UACAGAGGUCCCAAGCGUUGUUCGGAUUCACUGGGCGUAAAGGGUGCGUAGGCGGUCGGGUAAGUCUGAUGUGAAAUCUCACAGCUUAACUGUGAAACUGCAUUGGAUACUAUCCGGCUCGAGGAAUGGAGGGGAGACUGGAAUACUUGGUGUAGCAGUGAAAUGCGUAGAUAUCAAGUGGAACACUAGUGGCGAAGGCGAGUCUCUGGACAUUUCCUGACGCUGAGGCACGAAAGCCAGGGGAGCAAACGGG